UUUAAAUUAUUUUAUUUAGAAUAUUUAUUUUACACGUAAAUGGACGCUUAUCUUAGCGGUUUAGAC
Molecule: transfer RNA, 66 nt
Filed under: Gigantolina magna
Lineage: Eukaryota; Metazoa; Platyhelminthes; Cestoda; Amphilinidea; Amphilinidae
Description: tRNA-Val
Source: RNAcentral